RNAcentral lists this long non-coding RNA (221 nucleotides) under Elaeis guineensis (African oil palm). RNAcentral's name for it is "long non-coding RNA (EGUI_LNC023118)". The record is from RNAcentral. Lineage: Eukaryota; Viridiplantae; Streptophyta; Magnoliopsida; Arecales; Arecaceae.
UCCAUGGAAGGAUUAGACUAAAAUUUAAAAAACUGUGAGCCUGUAAUUGUUUGUCGUCAUAAUUUAUUCAGUAAGCAAUCAUAUCCACAACCUCGGUACGUAAUUUAUUUAGUAUUUUCUAACUUUAUAAUAAAGUGCCUUUUGUUUGCUUCUUAACCUACGCAUUGCACUUUCUCUCCUUUCUUUUCUUUUCUUUUUUCAUCCCAAAUCACGUGACCCCU